Schizosaccharomyces pombe (fission yeast) is the source of this 512-nucleotide non-coding RNA. NCBI's taxonomy places the organism in Eukaryota, Fungi, Ascomycota, Schizosaccharomycetes, Schizosaccharomycetales, Schizosaccharomycetaceae. The record is from the annotation of a GenBank genome assembly.
ACCACACUCACACACACACUCCCUCCUCGUCUAUCUUAACAACACAUUCCAACGCACUACCCUUCAUCUUUUUAUUAAACUCCUACAUCGUACCUCCAUCGCACCACCUUCCAUUUCCUUAUCUUUCACUCCAACUCACAUUACCUCCCUCACCGUUGCUGAACCCACCCUACACUAUUCUCGCUUACGAUACAACGCUCCAAUCCCCAACGGUCCAUCUCCACGGACUAGUUUCCUCAUUCUACACGGGUCCAAUGAUACUUUCUUGGUAAGCAAAAGGGAUACAAAGGAAAAGGGAUGUUGCAUUCUCAUUUGGAACAAGCCUAUCAGCCUAUCCAAUAAUGUAAUUUAUUAUUAUUACCAUCUCCAACCAGCUUCCUUCUUUACCUAUCUUUACGCUGCGACCGAUCCAAUGAAAAUUCAAAGAAGCUUAGGUAGAGUGGGUGCAAGUAGAAUAUCGGAGUUUAAGAAAUGUACCAAUGUGCGUUAAAAGAAUGGUUUCGCAAAGAUUA